Molecule: ribosomal RNA, 434 nt
Filed under: uncultured bacterium
Lineage: Bacteria
Description: partial 16S ribosomal RNA
Rfam family: Bacterial small subunit ribosomal RNA
Source: RNAcentral
AGCGAACGCUGGCGGCAGGCCUAACACAUGCAAGUCGAACGAACCUUUCGGGGUUAGUGGCGGACGGGUGAGUAACACGUGGGAACGUGCCUUUAGGUUCGGAAUAACUCAGGGAAACUUGUGCUAAUACCGAAUGUGCCCUUCGGGGGAAAGAUUUAUCGCCUUUAGAGCGGCCCGCGUCUGAUUAGCUAGUUGGUUGAGGUAAUGUCUCACCAAGGCGACGAUCAGUAGCUGGUCUGAGAGGAUGAUCAGCCACAUUGGGACUGAGACACGGCCCAAACUCCUACGGGAGGCAGCAGUGGGGAAUCUUGCGCAAUGGGCGAAAGCCUGACGCAGCCAUGCCGCGUGAAUGAUGAAGGUCUUAGGAUUGUAAAAUUCUUUCACCGGGGACGAUAAUGACGGUACCCGGAGAAGAAGCCCCGGCUAACUUCGUG